CGGUUAAGUUAGAAAGGGCGCACGGUGGAUGCCUUGGCACUAGGAGCCGAUGAAGGACGGGACGAACACCGAUAUGCUUCGGGGAGCUGUAAGCAAGCUUUGAUCCGGAGAUUUCCGAAUGGGGAAACCCACCACUCGUAAUGGAGUGGUAUCCAUAUCUGAAUACAUAG
RNAcentral lists this ribosomal RNA (170 nucleotides) under Bacillus velezensis. RNAcentral describes it as "partial 23S ribosomal RNA". It matches the Rfam family "Bacterial large subunit ribosomal RNA", at positions 1 to 169 of the family's 2925-position model. The record is from RNAcentral. Lineage: Bacteria; Bacillati; Bacillota; Bacilli; Caryophanales; Bacillaceae.